This 254-nucleotide long non-coding RNA is filed under the name Carica papaya (papaya). Its description in RNAcentral is "long non-coding RNA (CPAP_LNC011831)". The record is from RNAcentral. Lineage: Eukaryota; Viridiplantae; Streptophyta; Magnoliopsida; Brassicales; Caricaceae.
UUUGUUUUUCGACUUUUUCGGCCAACCGAGACCCCUUAAUAUGUUUUCUCACAAUGAUGAGUAUAAAACCAGCCAAAAUCAGCUAAAACUUGCCAAAAACGGCCAAGCCAAGACAAAUUGCUACCGCAGGGGCAUUGCCGUCACCAGAGGACGACGGUGCCGCCAUGUCGAAAUUUUAAAAUUUGCCGAAAAACGUUUUUGACACCGAUUUUAGAUUUUUUGGGAUAUUUUUAAAUACUUGAAACAUGUUUUAA